AUUGAACGCUGGCGGCAGGCCUAACACAUGCAAGUCGAGCGGAUGAAGGGAGCUUGCUCCUGGAUUCAGCGGCGGACGGGUGAGUAAUGCCUAGGAAUCUGCCUGGUAGUGGGGGAUAACGUCCGGAAACGGGCGCUAAUACCGCAUACGUCCUGAGGGAGAAAGUGGGGGAUCUUCGGACCUCACGCUAUCAGAUGAGCCUAGGUCGGAUUAGCUAGUUGGUGGGGUAAAGGCCUACCAAGGCGACGAUCCGUAACUGGUCUGAGAGGAUGAUCAGUCACACUGGAACUGAGACACGGUCCAGACUCCUACGGGAGGCAGCAGUGGGGAAUAUUGGACAAUGGGCGAAAGCCUGACCCAGCAAUGCCGCGUGUGUGAAGAAGGUCUUCGGAUUGUAAAGCACUUUAAGUUGGGAGGAAGGGCAGUAAGUGAAUACCUUGCUGUUUUGACGGUACCAAAAGAAUAAGCACCGGCUAACUUCGUG
RNAcentral lists this ribosomal RNA (484 nucleotides) under uncultured bacterium. RNAcentral's name for it is "partial 16S ribosomal RNA". It matches the Rfam family "Bacterial small subunit ribosomal RNA", at positions 30 to 507 of the family's 1533-position model. The record is from RNAcentral.